RNAcentral lists this ribosomal RNA (253 nucleotides) under uncultured bacterium. Its description in RNAcentral is "partial 16S ribosomal RNA". It matches the Rfam family "Bacterial small subunit ribosomal RNA", at positions 524 to 776 of the family's 1533-position model. The record is from RNAcentral.
UACGGAGGUUGCAAGCGUUGUUCGGAAUAACUGGGCGUAAAGCGGACGCAGGCGGCUAAGUCAGUCUGAAGUGAAAUCCCGGGGCUCAACCUCGGAAUGGCUUCGGAUACUGCUUGGCUUGAGUACGUGAGAGGAGAGUGGAAUUCCUGGUGUAGCGGUGAAAUGCGUAGAUAUCAGGAGGAACACCAAUGGCGAAAGCAACUCUCUGGCACGUUACUGACGCUGAGGUCCGAAAGCGUGGGGAGCGAACAGG